RNAcentral lists this ribosomal RNA (484 nucleotides) under uncultured bacterium. RNAcentral describes it as "partial 16S ribosomal RNA". It matches the Rfam family "Bacterial small subunit ribosomal RNA", at positions 28 to 523 of the family's 1533-position model. The record is from RNAcentral.
GACGAACGCUGGCGGCGUGCUUAACACAUGCAAGUCGAACGAUGAAGCUGGAGCUUGCUCCGGUGGAUUAGUGGCGAACGGGUGAGUAACACGUGAGCAAUCUGCCCUUGACUCUGGGAUAACUGCGGGAAACUGUAGCUAAUACCGGAUACUUUCACUGGAAGGCAUCUUCUGGUGAAGAAAGAAUUUCGGUCAAGGAUGAGCUCGCGGCCUAUCAGCUUGUUGGUGAGGUAACGGCUCACCAAGGCGACGACGGGUAGCCGGCCUGAGAGGAUGACGGGCCACGCUGGGACUGAGACACGGCCCAGACUCCUACGGGGGGCAGAAGUGGGGAAUAUUGCACAAUGGGCGCAAGCCUGAUGCAGCAACGCCGCGUGAGGGAUGAAGGCCUUCGGGUUGUAAACCUCUUUUAGCAGGGAAGAAGCGAAAGUGACGGUACCUGCAGAAAAAGCACCGGCUAACUACGUGCCAGCAGCCGCAGUAA